Molecule: long non-coding RNA, 259 nt
Filed under: Manihot esculenta (cassava)
Lineage: Eukaryota; Viridiplantae; Streptophyta; Magnoliopsida; Malpighiales; Euphorbiaceae
Description: long non-coding RNA (MESC_LNC009313)
Source: RNAcentral
CCUCACUUAUGCCUUCGGGGGCCUAAGGCACACCCGAAAUGUCUGCAUGUUCAGCGGCCGAACUUGAGGUUCGGCGGCCGAACCUGGGUUUUCCUCCAAAGUUAUUUUCAUUCAAAACUCAUUCUCCUUUUUACUUAAAAGCAUCAAAUACAUUAAAACAUUUUAUGAAAACAUGGUUUUACCCUUCUAGAGGUCUCCGACAUCCAAGAUUCCACCGGACGGUAGGAAUUCCGAUACCGGAGUCUAGCCGGGUAUUACA